This 297-nucleotide ribosomal RNA is filed under the name uncultured bacterium. RNAcentral's name for it is "partial 16S ribosomal RNA". It matches the Rfam family "Bacterial small subunit ribosomal RNA", at positions 28 to 334 of the family's 1533-position model. The record is from RNAcentral.
GAUGAAUGCUGGCGGCAUGCCUAAUACAUGCAAGUCGAGCGGUAACAUGAAUAGCUUGCUAUUUGAUGACGAGCGGCGGACGGCUGAGUAACGCGUGGGAACGUACCCCAAACUGAGGAAUAACGCACCGAAAGGUGUGCUAAUACCGCAUGUGAUCUACGGAUUAAAGCCUUCGGGCGGUUUGGGAAUGGCCUGCGUACGAUUAGAUAGUUGGUGAGGUAAAGGCUCAACCAAGCCGACGAUCUUUAGCUGGUCUGAGAGGAUGAUCAGCCACACUGGGACUGAGACACGGCCCAG